ACACCGGCAGCUCAAGUGGUAGCCGCUUUUAUUGGGCCUAAAGCGUCCGUAGCCGGUCUGAUAAGUCUCUGGUGAAAUCCCACAGCUUAACUGUGGGAAUUGCUGGAGAUACUAUCAUGACUCGAGGUCGGGAGAGGCUGGAGGUACUCCCAGGGUAGGGGUGAAAUCAUGUAAUCCUGGGAGGACCACCUGUGGCGAAGGCGUCCAGCUGGAACGAACCUGACGGUGAGGGACGAAAGCCAGGGGCGCGAACCGGAUUAGAUACCCGGGUAGUCCUGGCCGUAAACGAUGUGGACUUGGUGUUGGGAUGGCUUCGAGCUGCCCCAGUGCCGAAGGGAAGCUGUUAAGUCCACCGCCUGGGAAGUACGGCCGCAAGGCUGAAACUUAAAGGAAUUGGCGGGG
RNAcentral lists this ribosomal RNA (402 nucleotides) under uncultured bacterium. RNAcentral's name for it is "partial 16S ribosomal RNA". It matches the Rfam family "Archaeal small subunit ribosomal RNA", at positions 473 to 873 of the family's 1478-position model. The record is from RNAcentral.